UAAUCUAUUUAAAGUAAAUUCUCAUUUAUAUAUAGUAGAUUCACACCCGACUGCUCAAAAUCACAUACUAAUAUGUGAAUAAUAACUUUUUGAGAUUUUAAUUAGAGU
This is a non-coding RNA of Populus trichocarpa (black cottonwood), 108 nucleotides long. NCBI's taxonomy places the organism in Eukaryota, Viridiplantae, Streptophyta, Magnoliopsida, Malpighiales, Salicaceae. The record is from Rfam.